This is a long non-coding RNA of Wyeomyia smithii (pitcher-plant mosquito), 1745 nucleotides long. RefSeq lists it as uncharacterized. The record is from RefSeq and is a predicted model, not a curated record. NCBI's taxonomy places the organism in Eukaryota, Metazoa, Arthropoda, Insecta, Diptera, Culicidae. The transcript has 5 exons.
AAAAAUAACCGAUAAGGAAACACCCCGGCCACACACAAAAGGACGGACGGCUGCGACAAGUGAAUGACUUGUUAAUAUGACAGUUCGACGAGUAAAGGAAGAAAAAAAAAGACAUCCGCGCCGUGUAGACGGUUUUCUAGUGGAGCAAACCCGUGCUCGAUUGCCGACCCGAAACCUGAAGCAGCAGCAAGUGGGCUGUACUGUGUGCUGUGCGGUGCUGCGGUGGAGCCUUUCGUGCAGUCAACAUAGUUUUUGCUCCGACAGUUGCUCGGUGGAGCGCAGCAAGUGUAGACUAUGGCGUAAGCAACAGUACCAACAUCAAUAACAUCAUCAUCGCCGUCGACAGUUUUCGUCAUCAGCCAGCAUCAUCAUCGCUAUCGACAUCAACAGCAGCAGAAGUAGAAAAAAAAGUUUUAGUGUUUGACGAUUUCGACGCGAAAAAAAUACCUGCUCGUAAAAUUUUAGCCAAAGGACUCUAUCAACUUCGAAGGAGUUAUUCCCGCGACUGACAGUAGUGUGUUAGCUUAAAGUGUGACAAACAGAUCAGGAAAUCAGUGGCACAAAGUGAGCGAGAGGCCUGUGGGAUUAAUUAGUUUUUUUGUUGUCGCCAGUCUCGGUGUUUACGACGAUUCUGCAGAACCAAAACGUGAUUAUCAAUUCUGUUUUAUCGUGUGCACCCCGUGGAAAAAUGGUGAAACUAACUGCACAUUUUUUAGACGAUAGGCGAUCUGCUCCCUCGAUUCCAGUUACGGCAUGAUCCUGUCACUAAUCCGUCCGGCAGCACUUACAGAUGCAGCACGUGUUGAGACCCGUUCCCGACUGUUUACGUUUGGCAGGCAGAUUCGUUGUCGCUGGAAAAUGUGUAGGUUUGUUCGGCUUCGCCGAAGGGUGCUAAUUUUGACACCUGGAUAGAGUCCAGUUUACGACGAAGACAUAGAUGUUGUUUCUUCGUGGGUAAUCAAAACGGUUCAUCUGACCAUCUGCUGCUAUACUGCUGCUACUGCACUCGACUCGAUUUCCGACUUCCUCCGUAGCAUCGAAAAUUACACCCUCGUAAUUGACUUUGCGCACCCACUUGAAAGCUCCUAAAUUUCCACUCUCACUAUCUCAUGCAGCUCGAGUACAAAUUAAGUCAUAAAGGGUAAUAAAGGCAAAAUUUAUUAUCAUCUCCGUUCCGUCGGCGUGGCACACAACGACGUAGCCAGAACUCUCGAAAUCGAUUCUUGCCGGUUCACCGCCACCCAGCCAGAGCGGCAGUGUUCCCGAAUAUGGUCAUAAAUAAGCGUUCGGCUGCUAACGUCGACUGCGCCGCUCUAUUGCGAUGCCGUACCCGUACCAAACCGUAGCUCACUGGCGGCCAAAAAACGCACAAUUUAUGGCUUUAACUUCAAUAAAUUUGAUACCCGGACGGUUCCCCCUUAUUCGCCUCCCGGUGCCUCCCCGGCUCGGUAACAGAGCCACUUAUUACACACACACUAUCCUUUUUUUUUUUGCUGCUGAGGAGCAGCAGCAAAAAUAAAAAACUGCUGCAACAAAGCUCACUAUUUUGGCCAACCCUUCUGGUUUUAUGUGACGCAAACGAUAAUCGUCCACAAAAGAGUACCGAUAAAAUGCGGCAUAAAUUUUCCAUCCCCCGUCCUCGUUCCAUACGUAAACAACAAUCGAUUCGAUCACAUUGCGAAUUUUGGGCAAGGAGGGCGUGUUUUCGCCAACAUACAACCGACUCUCACAUACAUGUUUAUCCA